AAGUGUUACCGCUCUUUUAGAAUUUGUCUAGCACGGCU
This 38-nucleotide small nuclear RNA is filed under the name Macaca fascicularis (crab-eating macaque). Its description in RNAcentral is "U7 small nuclear RNA (ENSMFAG00000012454.2)". It matches the Rfam family "U7 small nuclear RNA", at positions 1 to 37 of the family's 62-position model. From Rfam's summary of the family: Animal histone pre-mRNAs are spliced by a different mechanism than nuclear pre-mRNAs and self-splicing introns. Lineage: Eukaryota; Metazoa; Chordata; Mammalia; Primates; Cercopithecidae. The record is from Rfam by way of RNAcentral.